Molecule: non-coding RNA, 2622 nt
Organism: Doryrhamphus excisus (bluestripe pipefish)
Lineage: Eukaryota; Metazoa; Chordata; Actinopteri; Syngnathiformes; Syngnathidae
Source: RefSeq, a predicted model, not a curated record
AGAGACCGGGCAAAGCAAAGUCAGUAAAAGCGUGUACGCACACAGCGUGAAGCAGGAAGCAGGAAAUCCUAGCAGGUACAGAGCAAUCAAGAAGCAAAAAGGAGGAGACCACGUUUAAUAAUCCGGGGAUGGUAGAGUUCUGUGGGUGGUUUUAACGCUAUAGAUGCCCCCACGUGUCUGGGGCGGGAAACUGUUGGAGACUUCCAUUCUCACUGUGCUCCUGCUCUCCUAUUGUGAAGCUUAAUCUGUACUGCAGCUCAACUUUCUCCUAAAAUGGAAACACAAACAGAAACAAUGUAGAUCAGGGGUGCUCACACUUUUUCAGCAUGCGAGCUACUUUUAAAAUGACCGAGUCAAAAUGAUCUACCCACUACAAAAAUGCAAAACAUCUAUUUAUUUUCAAAUGUAUUGAGGAUUAUUUGUACGUACAAUGUAUGUUGAUGUACCUUACAUAACCAAAUGAGCCAAUAUUGCAAAACACACAUAAUUAACUAUUAACAUUUUUUGUAAUUACCUGAGUUUACUUUGAUGACUUGCACUGAAUUGAACCAGCCAGGGAUGCAUAGUCCGGACAGUAGCUGCUGAUAGCCAGCCUCAAGCACACUUCCAAAUGUUUAUCAGUCAUGGAUAAUAUCCGUAUCAUAAUAUCCGUAUAAUAUUCCAUAUCCGUAUGGAAGUGAUAUGUUUUUUGCCUUUUUACUUGGUCCAGCUCCUUCACUCAUUUUAGUGACCAUAAACUUUAGCGAGGGCUUUAAAAUCUCGCAAUUCGCCGACUAGCUUAGCACUUUGCAUCGUUGUUUACGCAUGAGCGGUGACCUAAAGGUCAAAAUUCAGUUGUCAUCUGACUGGUUGUCCUGUAUGUCAAUCAAGUAACGGGGGAUGGAUGAUAGGCUGACAUCGUAAGUUCUGCUGCACUUAGAGACGUUGUUUGAUUUGAUUGGUCGCCCGAAGGCUCAGUUGUCAUCUGAAUGGCUGCCCUGUAUAUCAAUCAAGUGACGGCAUUGAUGCUGGGAUGAUAUUUUUUUCAUGUCACGCCGCGAUCGACCAGUACCACCUCCGCGAUCGACCGGUAGCUCGCGAUCGACUUAAUGAACACCCCUGAUGUAGAUGAUCCAGACAGGCAACCAUUUUCAAUAUGUGUAUGUAUGUAAGAUGUCCCUCGUUUAUCACAGUUAAUUGGCUGCAGACCCAACCGCAAUAAGUGAAAUAAGUGAAAUGUUGCAAUGUUAUGAUACAACAGCAUUCACCAAAUGUGUUUCUAAAAUGGCCGCACCUUGUUUGGGUUUGCCAGGAGCAUGAUCUGUGUGACGGCAGCAGGAGGAAGAAUGGGAUUGAACGCAGGAAGUUCCGUUCCCGAAGCGGAGUCCAAAACGAGACAAGACGCCCGCGCAGACCUUCUGCGGCGAAAUUAGGAAGUUGAUGUUGGUGACGGGCACGGGAGCGGACGACAGCAUGGAGAUGAUCACCACCAGCACGUCGGGGCGAGAUGGAGGUGAAUCGCGUGCAACGUGGAGGAGAACGCGUAGAUUGUGUCCGUCAAAGACCGUGACAGCAUCUGAUAGGCAUCCAAGAUCUUGGCCUCAUCAGGCAGACCUAAAGUCCAGCUGUAGAUCAACUCCAAGACCUUCUUCUUCACUGCCUCUGGUGACCGGGAACCCAGGUACUGUGUGUAAAGAAUCGAAGUGUUAAACGUGUCAAGAGAAAGCCAAGCCAUGCAAAGCCACAGAUGAUAACUUUACCUUCGGAGAAACUACUUUGAUAAGUUCAUUGAGAAAGCGGAACUUGCCCACUUCAUUGUGGAACCUUUUCCCGCAGUUUUUCAUACAGGUCUCCAAAACCUGGUGACGAAAAGGACACAAAUGCCUGGAUAGCAGGAAAUGUUUGGGACAUACAGUAAACCUCGGAUAUAUCGGACUCGGAUAUAUCGGAAAUUCGCUCACAACGGACAGAUAAAAAAGAACCGAUUUUUCUGUAAUGCAUUUCCAAUAAAAAUUCAUUGCAUAUAUCGGAUUUUUUAUAACGGAUUUCGCCUAUUUCGGACAAAAUCUCCAGUCCCGUUCCAAUGCAUUUCCAUUCAAUUUCCCUCGCAUAUAUCGGAUGGCCGCAUCGUGGCGCUCCGAUUCGCCGAAUCGUGACAGGCCGCUAUACGACGUCAUUUGCAGCGUUGCCUGCACGAUUUAUAUUCAGAUUUAGGACAAAUAAAAUCCGAUUUACGCAUAUACUGGAUAUAAAUCCGAUAUAUGCGUAAAACUGACAUUUUCCGGUAUACGCAUAUAACGGAUUUCGCUUAUAUCGGACAAAACCAGUGGGAACAAUUGAAUCCGAUAUAUGCGAGGUUUACUGUAUUAUGAAUUUGUGUCAGCUACCCCUUCUACUCCUCUACUGCAACACAAAAAGGAGAGAAAAUGUGUCUUGCCUGUGCUAUUAUUUUUCUUGACAAAUACAUACGACCCCAAAGUUUGACCCCCAUUAAGUUGACUUACUCUGCAAAAUACCGACUGUGACUUGAACUCGAAAUUCGGCACACACCUUUAGGGGAUUGACAUGUACAUGUCUGUACAAUUUGAGCAACGCUGGUUGAAAGACGUGUUAGCUGCCAGCAACCAAUGCAUCUUAGCAACU